Molecule: ribosomal RNA, 511 nt
Filed under: uncultured Bacteroidales bacterium
Lineage: Bacteria; Pseudomonadati; Bacteroidota; Bacteroidia; Bacteroidales
Description: partial 16S ribosomal RNA
Source: RNAcentral
CACGGAGUUAGCCGAUGCUUUUUCUCCGGGUACUCUCAGCUGGGUCACACGUGACCCAGCUUGCUCCCCGGCAAAAGAGGUUUACAAUCCAUAGGACCGUCUUCCCUCACGCGACUUGGCUGGUUCAGGCUCGCGCCCAUUGACCAAUAUUCCUCACUGCUGCCUCCCGUAGGAGUCUGGUCCGUGUCUCAGUACCAGUGUGGGGGACCUUCCUCUCAGAACCCCUACGCAUCGUCGCCUCGGUGGGCCGUUACCCCGCCGACUAGCUAAUGCGCCGCAUGCCCAUCCCUGGCCGGAAUCGCUUCCUUUGAUCCUAACGGGAUGUCCCGUAAGGAUGUUACGCGGUAUUAGACCGGAUUUCUCCGGCUUAUCCCCCAGCCAGGGGCAGGUUGCAUACGUGUUACUCACCCGUGCGCCGGUCGCCGGCGGAUGAAGCAAGCUUCAUCCCCGCUGCCCCUCGACUUGCAUGUGUUAAGCCUGUCGCUAGCGUUCAUCCUGAGCCAGGAUCAAA